GUAUGUGAUCGUCUCUCGCAUAUCAAUAAGCGGAGGAAAAGAAACUAACAAGGAUUCCCCUAGUAACGGCGAGUGAAGCGGGAAGAGCUCAAAUUUGAAAUCUUAAAGGGUUUCCCUUUACGAAUUGUAGUUUAAAGAAGUGUUUUCUGUGGAGGUUUUGGUAAAAGUUCUUUGGAAUAGGACAUCAUAGAGGGUGAGAAUCCCGUAUUUGACCUUUACUUUCAACUUUGUGAUACACUUUCAAAGAGUCGGAUUGUUUGGGAAUGCAGUCCAAAAUGGGGGGUAAAUUUCAUCUAAAGCUAAAUAUUGGCGAGAGACCGAUAGCGAACAAGUACCGUGAGGGAAAGAUGAAAAGAACUUUGAAAAGAGAGUUAAACAGUACGUGAAAUUGUCAAAAGGGAAGCGUUUGACACCAGUGUUGUUUUUCUGAAAAUCAAUUAAAGAACUGUUUAUGCUAAGCUUAUUUAGACUUUAUCAGCUAACUGUUUAGUUUUGAGCUUUUCUUUAAUGCACUUUUCAGUUAACUAGUCAACAUCAAUUUCUUUUGCUGUAAAAAAGCUUGAGGAAGGUGGCUUGAGAUUCGUCUUAAGUGUUCAUAGCCUCUUGCCUAUGCAGUCGGAGAGAUUGAGGUCUGCAGCGUAGAUCCUUCGGGGCUAAAUGCAUUUGUGCUAAGUUCAUAGCAUUUUAUAGACAACUUGUUGACUAUGAUUUGUCUUGUAGCUUACUCGCUUAUGUUAUUUUACCUACGCUUAGGAUGUUGACACACGCGCGUGCUCG
Molecule: ribosomal RNA, 777 nt
Filed under: uncultured Neocallimastigales
Lineage: Eukaryota; Fungi; Neocallimastigomycota; Neocallimastigomycetes; Neocallimastigales
Description: partial large subunit ribosomal RNA
Rfam family: Eukaryotic large subunit ribosomal RNA
Source: RNAcentral